Molecule: ribosomal RNA, 117 nt
Filed under: Pteropus alecto (black flying fox)
Lineage: Eukaryota; Metazoa; Chordata; Mammalia; Chiroptera; Pteropodidae
Source: RNAcentral
GUCUGGCCAUGCCACCCUGAAUGUGCUUAAUCUUGUCUGAUCUCGGAAGCUAAGCAGGGUCGGGCCUGGUUAGUACUUGGAUGGGAGACCACCUAGGAAGACCAGGUUCUGUAGGCA